AUACAUUUCUAGGCCUUUUGGCUAAGACCAAGUGUAGUAUCUGUUCUUAUCAGUUUAAUACCUGAGAUGUGAACCAUCGAUUCACACGAUAUUGACUUGAUAUUUUAAGGGGUAGAGUUCAUUAAGGAAGCUUGCUACCCGGGUUCUCGAGCGUCGCCCAUGCGAUUCACUACAACAUGGGCCUGGCGCACCCCAC
This 196-nucleotide small nuclear RNA is filed under the name Nicotiana sylvestris (wood tobacco). RNAcentral's name for it is "U2 spliceosomal RNA". It matches the Rfam family "U2 spliceosomal RNA". Rfam says of the family: U2 is a small nuclear RNA (snRNA) component of the spliceosome (involved in pre-mRNA splicing). Complementary binding between U2 snRNA (in an area lying towards the 5' end but 3' to hairpin I) and the branchpoint sequence (BPS) of the intron results the bulging out of an unpaired adenosine, on the BPS, which initiates a nucleophilic attack at the intronic 5' splice site, thus starting the first of two transesterification reactions that mediate splicing. Lineage: Eukaryota; Viridiplantae; Streptophyta; Magnoliopsida; Solanales; Solanaceae. The record is from Rfam by way of RNAcentral.